UAGCCUGUCAAAGCGGCGGUGACUAUGUGUACCAUUUUCAUAUCACAGCCACUUUGAUGUGGUCGG
Molecule: microRNA precursor, 66 nt
Filed under: Operophtera brumata (winter moth)
Lineage: Eukaryota; Metazoa; Arthropoda; Insecta; Lepidoptera; Geometridae
Description: mir-2 microRNA precursor family
Rfam family: mir-2 microRNA precursor family
About the family: The miRNAs are transcribed as ~70nt precursors (modelled here) and subsequently processed by the Dicer enzyme to give a ~22nt product. In this case the mature sequence comes from the 3' arm of the precursor.
Source: Rfam by way of RNAcentral